CCUACGGGUGGCUGCAGUGGGGAAUAUUGGGCAAUGGGCGCAAGCCUGACCCAGCAACGCCGCGUGAAGGAAGAAGGCCCUCGGGUUGUAAACUUCUUUUGUCAGGGACGAAGAAAGUGACGGUACCUGACGAAUACGCCACGGCUAACUACGUGCCAGCAGCCGCGGUAAUACGUAGGUGGCAGGCGUUAUCCGGAUUUAUUGGGUUUAAAGGGUGCGCAGGCGGCGAGUUAAGUCAGCGGUAAAAUUUCGGGGCUCAACCCCGACGAGCCGUUGAAACUGGCUUGCUAGAGUGGGCGAGAAGUAUGCGGAAUGCGUGGUGUAGCGGUGAAAUGCAUAGAUAGCACGCAGAACUCCGAUUGCGAAGGCAGCAUACCGGCGCCCAACUGACGCUCAGGCACGAAAGCGUGGGUAGCGAACAGGAUUAGAUACCCGGGUAGUC
This 442-nucleotide ribosomal RNA is filed under the name uncultured bacterium. RNAcentral describes it as "partial 16S ribosomal RNA". It matches the Rfam family "Bacterial small subunit ribosomal RNA", at positions 338 to 795 of the family's 1533-position model. The record is from RNAcentral.